Long non-coding RNA from Mobula hypostoma (lesser devil ray), 3175 nucleotides. RefSeq lists it as uncharacterized. NCBI's taxonomy places the organism in Eukaryota, Metazoa, Chordata, Chondrichthyes, Myliobatiformes, Myliobatidae. The transcript has 5 exons. The record is from RefSeq and is a predicted model, not a curated record.
CAGGUCUGAGGUAAAUGAGGUACUCGUUCGGUUGUCCGAAGCGGCCCCAAUUUUCGCCGUCUUCCACACACCAACAUCGCCAUCGGUCCCGCUCACAUACGACGUUUUACGUCAUAACGUUGGAGAUGUGUGGAGACUUGGGGUGUCCAUUCUGAAGCUCAGUUUUUAGUUACUUAGUUCACCAACUGUGGUGAAGCUCUUCUAUUCGCUAAUGAACCAGAAGCUUGAACGGCAAUGACGCUGGAAUAUCGGAGGUCUAUGGAGGAUGACGAAGCGGAGUGGGCAUUCAUUUCCUGGAGGAUGGAAUUACGAGCAUUUGUGGCCCAUCGCUAUUAAGCCCGGGGAGUCUACUAUCACUAACUCUGGAAAUGCAUGAGCUGCUCGGCUAAGGACGCGUGACCUGAUAAAAAAAAAACAACUCGUGGAAGAUCUCAGUAUGUCAGGCGGCAUCUGUCAAUUCUGCCGAAUCAAACCCUACGUCUCGACAUGAUGUUUAGCUGUAUUGCUUCUUCUGGCGGAGCAGCACCAGAAUUUAACCGCCGCAGCAAGAUCCUUCUCUUCAACGUAUAUAGUUGAAAUAAAUCAAAACAAAAUACGAAAAUGUGUGCUAGUAAUCAUCAAAGUUUAAAUAGCGGAAGUAAUCUGCAGCACAGGCAGCAUAUGUGGCUGAAAAAAAGAGCAUGCUGUUUCUGGCUGUCAUACUUUCAUGGUAAUGGUCUCAUGAUAAAGAGUCAGGGGACAAUGUGAAGUAUAUGAUAGUAAGAUAUUAUAAAGCGGAAGCAGAAGAGACCAAUUGGAUCCUCUAGUACGCUCGAAUUUUAAUAGGAUUGCGAAUCCAAUGUCUCCGAUUUAAGAUGGCGCAGCUUGCUUGUUGAGGUGACUACUUUUUGCGGUCAAUGAAACAACUAAAGCAACUAAAAACUUAAUUAUUCAAACGUCUUUUCUGGUAAACGAUUGCUGCAAUUAGUGAGCGCCCUUUGACUUUCAUGUCGGAACUGAUCUGAAUCGCCAGCACGAUCUGGCUUUUUUUUUUGCUGCGGUGUUGCUGGGGCAGGACGUUUGCAACAUGUUCAGAUUGGAGUUGCGGGAGCGGAAUUGGCAGAAAUUCGAUACGCAGAGCCGAGGCGAAGCAAACUCUGAAGUUCGAUCGACUUAAGUACUAAAGCAAAUUGGAAUGGUCAGGUCCUCCAGAUCCGGCAACAUCCGUGUACAUUUUCUCUGUACUAUAUCAAUCUUACGGGAGGAGAAGAUGGCGGCGCGACGCAGCUUGCAGUGGCCACUCCGGUGAAUGAUAUCUGUUAUCUGUCAAGUAGGGUGCCGUGCACAAUCCUGAUUUGAUGCAGACAGACAUGAGAGCACUUCUGAAAUACCUGCUUCGCUGCCACUGCUACUGUGUGAACCAGAAUCUCCGGUGGGGAAGGCCCCGAGUCAUCGGCUUUGCUUAUUGCUCAGCGGCCGGGGCGAGGUCAAAGCGCUCGGCAAAGAUGGGUGCUCGGUGUCAGAGGGCUGUUCGGAGGCUCGAAGUUUUCGGACGGAUUCAGAGUCGGCUGCGGUCGGGUGCUUCCAAUGCAUCGGCAAGUUUGUGGCGUUUGGACUUCAUAGCAGGGGGAGUUUCUCCAUCCUACCGUCUGCGUCAGAUGAUGGGGCUAUCGGGACUUGAGACUUUUGCUUUACCGUGCCCAUGGUCUGCUCUUCAUCAAAUUACGGUAUUGCAUCCCACUGUUGUAACUUUAUGUUAUAAUUAUGUGGUUUUGUCAGUUUUAGUCUUGGUUUGUACUGUGUUUCUGUGAUAUCAUACUGGAGGAACAGUGUAUCAUUUUUUAAUGCAUGCAUUUCUAAAAGACAACAAACGAAGACUGAGUGUCCUCAUAAUCUAAUCUAAUCUAAUCUUCCCUGUAGGGAAGGUGAGCAAAACUCCACAACACACUCCAAGUUAGGUCUAACCAACAUCUUAUAAAACUUCGAGGUAAUAUUCCAUCUCCUGUGCUCAAUAGUUUGAUAUACUAAGGUAAUUGUGCCAAAAGCUUUCUUUAUAACUCUCUCUACCUGUAACACCUUUUUCAAUGUAUUAUGGAUAUGUUCAUUCCCAGCUCCCUGAUUUCUAGCACACCCCUCAGUGCUCUUCUUGUCUUGCCCAUACUGCACUAACCGCCGCCGCUGGGCUAUAAACUUGUAGGAGCAAUGUGCGGUUAAGUGCCUUGCUCAAGGACACAAUACGCUGCUUCGGGUGAGUCUCGAACUCGCGACCUUCUGAUCGCUAGUCCAACGCCUGAACUACUUGGCCAGGCGCAUUCCAUUCACGCUAUAAGACGCACCUUGGUUGAUCGCACUUGUCUGCGUAAAACGGAAUCUGACAUUCUCCCAGCUGAUCCAGUUCAUUCUGCAACCUAUAAUAGCCUAACCCGCUGUUCACUACACCCGCAAUCUUAGUGUCAUCCUUGAAUUUGCUGAUCCAGCUAACCACAUUAUCAUCAAGAUCUUUGAUGCAGAUCACAAACAGCAACGAACGCAGCCCCGAUCCUUGAGGAACUCCACUCGACACAGGUCUGCACUCAGCGAGGCACCCAUCUACUACCCCUCUCUGGCUUCUACCACAAAACCGAUGUCUAAUUCAAUUUAUGAUCUCAUUUCAUGGAUGCAAUAUCAACUGUCACGCCUUUGUCAAUCUUCUUUGAUAACUACAUUAAGUUAGGUGGAUGCAAUCUACGUAGUAUAGACCUAGUACGCGAUAGACCUAGUAGAUCGUCGUACCUGGUAGUACAACAAGUACUGAAAGUUGAAAGUUGACUGGGAAUGGGGAGUGUAAAUCGGUAUCAGUGGAAAGCAAGCCAUGUUUGAUACAUCUGUUAGAAUUUCAGUUUCACUAAGGCUGCAACUAACUUCUAUGAGUCAUAUCUGAUGUAAGCUUGGCUUCCAUAAAGCGCCACAGUGGAGUUUACUAGCCAAAAAUUGCGCGCACGUUAUUAGUGUAAUCAGCGUAAUAUGAGUGCCCCCAUGCUGGCGUAGAAAGAGGAAAUGUACUUUCGUUGUAUGUUAUUCUAGCCUGACAGGGUGGAUCUGAAAUGUACGCUUUCUGAGCUCGUGUCUGUAGAAUUCGAAAUCAGAGCCCAAACAUGCGUCAACAGCAUUCAGGAAAGAGUUAAUGUGGUGAAUAUUCAGAAUUCUCUGUGCAAGA